GAUGAAGAACGUAGCGAAAUGCGAUAAGUAAUGUGAAUUGCAGAAUUCAGUGAAUCAUCGAAUCUUUGAACGCACCUUGCACUCCUUGGUAUUCCGAGGAGUACGCCUGUUCGAGUGUUAUGAAGCUCUCAAAACGCAAUUGGCUUAAAACCUGAUUGUUGUUUUGGAUUUGAACUUUGCCGUGUUAUAACGGCUGGUUUUAAAAGUAUUAGCUGGUACUAGAACGAAUUGGUUCUACUCAACGUGAUAAUUAUCUGAUCGUUGAGGACAUUCCUUUCACGAGGAAAGGCCAUAGUAAAUUCAAUGGACUGCUUCUAAUCUGGCUUUAAUUCUUUAUUGGAUUAACCACUUUUCAAAUCUGACCUCGAAUCAGGUGGGACUACCCGCUGAACUUAAGCAUAUCAAUAAGCGGAGGA
RNAcentral lists this unclassified non-coding RNA (416 nucleotides) under soil metagenome. RNAcentral's name for it is "partial contains 5.8S ribosomal RNA, internal transcribed spacer 2, and large subunit ribosomal RNA". The stretch from base 1 to 120 matches the Rfam family "5.8S ribosomal RNA", at positions 35 to 154 of the family's 154-position model. The record is from RNAcentral.